CAACAAAGUACAACAAACCACAUUCCAGCCAAUAACAAGAUAGUUGGGGGAGGGGGUGGGGGUUAGUGCCAGUCAUUAAUGGUG
Sander lucioperca (pikeperch) is the source of this 84-nucleotide long non-coding RNA. RefSeq lists it as uncharacterized. NCBI's taxonomy places the organism in Eukaryota, Metazoa, Chordata, Actinopteri, Perciformes, Percidae. The record is from RefSeq and is a predicted model, not a curated record. The transcript has 3 exons.